This 497-nucleotide ribosomal RNA is filed under the name uncultured bacterium. RNAcentral describes it as "partial 16S ribosomal RNA". It matches the Rfam family "Bacterial small subunit ribosomal RNA", at positions 28 to 507 of the family's 1533-position model. The record is from RNAcentral.
GAUGAACGCUGGCGGCGUGCCUAAUACAUGCAAGUCGAGCGAACGGACGAGAAGCUUGCUUCUCUGAUGUUAGCGGCGGACGGGUGAGUAACACGUGGAUAACCUACCUAUAAGACUGGGAUAACUUCGGGAAACCGUAGCUAAUACCGGAUAAUAUUUUGAACCGCAUGGUUCAAAAGUGAAAGACGGUCUUGCUGUCACUUAUAGAUGGAUCCGCGCUGCAUUAGCUAGUUGGUAAGGUAACGGCUUACCAAGGCAACGAUGCAUAGCCGACCUGAGAGGGUGAUCGGCCACACUGGAACUGAGACACGGUCCAGACUCCUACGGGAGGCAGCAGUGGGGAAUCUUCCGCAAUGGGCGAAAGCCUGACGCAGCAACGCCGCGUGAGUGAUGAAGGUCUUCGGAUCGUAAAACUCUGUUAUUAGGGAAGAACAUAUGUGUAAGUAACUGUGCACAUCUUGACGGUACCUAAUCAGAAAGCCACGGCUAACUACGUG